RNAcentral lists this ribosomal RNA (1140 nucleotides) under uncultured bacterium. RNAcentral describes it as "bacterial SSU rRNA". It matches the Rfam family "Bacterial small subunit ribosomal RNA", at positions 243 to 1399 of the family's 1533-position model. The record is from RNAcentral.
AGUUAGUUGGUGAGGUAAUGGCUCACCAAGACAAUGACACCUAACUGGUUUGAGAGGAUGAUCAGUCACACUGGAACUGAGACACGGUCCAGACUCCUACGGGAGGCAGCAGUGGGGAAUAUUGCACAAUGGAGGAAACUCUGAUGCAGCAACGCCGCGUGGAGGAUGACACAUUUCGGUGCGUAAACUCCUUUUAUAUGAGAAGAUAAUGACGGUAUCAUAUGAAUAAGCACCGGCUAACUCCGUGCCAGCAGCCGCGGUAAUACGGGGGGUGCAAGCGUUACUCGGAAUCACUGGGCGUAAAGCGAGCGCAGGCGGAUAGAAAAGUCAGAAGUGAAAUCCUAUAGCUUAACUAUAGAACUGCUUCUGAAACUCUCUAUCUAGAAUAUGGGAGAGGUAGAUGGAAUUUCUGGUGUAGGGGUAAAAUCCGUAGAGAUCAGANGAAUACCGAUUGCGAAGGCGAUCUACUGGAACAUUAUUGACGCUGAGCUCGAAAGCGUGGGGAGCAAACAGGAUUAGAUACCCUGGUAGUCCACGCCCUAAACGAUGCACACUAGUUGUUGCUAUGCUAGACAUAGCAGUAAUGCAGUUAACACAGUAAGUGUGCCGCCUGGGGAGUACGGUCGCAAGAUUAAAACUCAAAGGAAUAGACGGGGACCCGCACAAGCGGUGGAGCAUGUGGUUUAAUUCGACGAUACGCGAAGAACCUUACCUGGCCUUGACAUAGAUAGAACUUUCUAGAGAUAGAUUGGUGCUAGCUUGCUAGAACUAUCAUACAGGUGCUGCACGGCUGUCGUCAGCUCGUGUCGUGAGAUGUUGGGUUAAGUCCCGCAACGAGCGCAACCCUCGUGUUUAGUUACUAACAGUUCGGCUGAGGACUCUAGACAGACUGCCUGGGCAACCAGGAGGAAGGUGAGGACGACGUCAAGUCAUCAUGGCCCUUACGGCCAGGGCUACACACGUGCUACAAUGGGGUAUACAAAGAGCAGCAAUACCGCGAGGUGGAGCAAAUCUCAUAAAAUAUCUCCCAGUUCGGAUAGCAGUCUGCAACUCGACUGCUUGAAGUUGGAAUCGCUAGUAAUCGUAGAUCAGCAAUGCUACGGUGAAUACGUUCCCGGGUCUUGUACUCACCGCCCGUCA